RNAcentral lists this ribosomal RNA (1522 nucleotides) under Salmonella enterica subsp. enterica serovar Ealing. Its description in RNAcentral is "bacterial SSU rRNA". It matches the Rfam family "Bacterial small subunit ribosomal RNA". Lineage: Bacteria; Pseudomonadati; Pseudomonadota; Gammaproteobacteria; Enterobacterales; Enterobacteriaceae. The record is from RNAcentral.
AGAGUUUGAUCAUGGCUCAGAUUGAACGCUGGCGGCAGGCCUAACACAUGCAAGUCGAACGGUAACAGGAAGCAGCUUGCUGCUUCGCUGACGAGUGGCGGACGGGUGAGUAAUGUCUGGGAAACUGCCUGAUGGAGGGGGAUAACUACUGGAAACGGUGGCUAAUACCGCAUAACGUCGCAAGACCAAAGAGGGGGACCUUCGGGCCUCUUGCCAUCAGAUGUGCCCAGAUGGGAUUAGCUUGUUGGUGAGGUAACGGCUCACCAAGGCGACGAUCCCUAGCUGGUCUGAGAGGAUGACCAGCCACACUGGAACUGAGACACGGUCCAGACUCCUACGGGAGGCAGCAGUGGGGAAUAUUGCACAAUGGGCGCAAGCCUGAUGCAGCCAUGCCGCGUGUAUGAAGAAGGCCUUCGGGUUGUAAAGUACUUUCAGCGGGGAGGAAGGUGUUGUGGUUAAUAACCGCAGCAAUUGACGUUACCCGCAGAAGAAGCACCGGCUAACUCCGUGCCAGCAGCCGCGGUAAUACGGAGGGUGCAAGCGUUAAUCGGAAUUACUGGGCGUAAAGCGCACGCAGGCGGUCUGUCAAGUCGGAUGUGAAAUCCCCGGGCUCAACCUGGGAACUGCAUUCGAAACUGGCAGGCUUGAGUCUUGUAGAGGGGGGUAGAAUUCCAGGUGUAGCGGUGAAAUGCGUAGAGAUCUGGAGGAAUACCGGUGGCGAAGGCGGCCCCCUGGACAAAGACUGACGCUCAGGUGCGAAAGCGUGGGGAGCAAACAGGAUUAGAUACCCUGGUAGUCCACGCCGUAAACGAUGUCUACUUGGAGGUUGUGCCCUUGAGGCGUGGCUUCCGGAGCUAACGCGUUAAGUAGACCGCCUGGGGAGUACGGCCGCAAGGUUAAAACUCAAAUGAAUUGACGGGGGCCCGCACAAGCGGUGGAGCAUGUGGUUUAAUUCGAUGCAACGCGAAGAACCUUACCUGGUCUUGACAUCCACAGAAUUUUGCAGAGAUGCGGAAGUGCCUUCGGGAACUGUGAGACAGGUGCUGCAUGGCUGUCGUCAGCUCGUGUUGUGAAAUGUUGGGUUAAGUCCCGCAACGAGCGCAACCCUUAUCCUUUGUUGCCAGCGGUCCGGCCGGGAACUCAAAGGAGACUGCCAGUGAUAAACUGGAGGAAGGUGGGGAUGACGUCAAGUCAUCAUGGCCCUUACGACCAGGGCUACACACGUGCUACAAUGGCGCAUACAAAGAGAAGCGACCUCGCGAGAGCAAGCGGACCUCAUAAAGUGCGUCGUAGUCCGGAUUGGAGUCUGCAACUCGACUCCAUGAAGUCGGAAUCGCUAGUAAUCGUGGAUCAGAAUGCCACGGUGAAUACGUUCCCGGGCCUUGUACACACCGCCCGUCACACCAUGGGAGUGGGUUGCAAAAGAAGUAGGUAGCUUAACCUUCGGGAGGGCGCUUACCACUUUGUGAUUCAUGACUGGGGUGAAGUCGUAACAAGGUAACCGUAGGGGAACCUGCGGUUG